RNAcentral lists this ribosomal RNA (1447 nucleotides) under uncultured bacterium. Its description in RNAcentral is "bacterial SSU rRNA". It matches the Rfam family "Bacterial small subunit ribosomal RNA". The record is from RNAcentral.
AGAGUUUGAUCCUGGCUCAGAACGUACGCUGGCGGCACGCCUAACACAUGCAAGUCGAACGAAGUAGCAAUACUUAGUGGCAAACGGGUGAGUAACAUGUGGGUAUCUGCCCUUUGGCCUGGAAUAACACGAGGAAACUUGUGCUAAUACCGGAUAAGUCUUUUAAGAGAAAGCUUUAUGCACCAAUGGAUGAGCCCGCACCUGAUUAGUUAGUUGGUGGGGUAAUGGCUUACCAAGACAAUGAUCAGUAGCUGAUUUGAGAGGAUGAUCAGCCACAUUGGGACUGAGACACGGCCCAAACUCCUACGGGAGGCAGCAGUGGGGAAUCUUGCACAAUGGGGGAAACCCUGAUGCAGCGAUGCCGCGUGAGUGAAGAAGGCCCUUGGGUUGUAAAGCUCUUUCGUCGGGGAAGAAAAUGACUGUACCCGAAUAAGAAGGUCCGGCUAACUUCGUGCCAGCAGCCGCGGUAAUACGAAGGGACCUAGCGUAGUUCGGAAUUACUGGGCUUAAAGAGUUCGUAGGUGGUUAAAAUAGUUGGUGGUGAAAUCCCAGAGCUUAACUCUGGAACUGCCAUCAAAACUUUUUAGCUAGAGUAUGAUAGAGGAAAGUAGAAUUUCUAGUGUAGAGGUGAAAUUCGUAGAUAUUAGAAAGAAUACCAAUUGCGAAGGCAGCUUUCUGGAUCAUUACUGACACUGAGGAACGAAAGCAUGGGUAGCGAAGAGGAUUAGAUACCCUCGUAGUCCAUGCCGUAAACGAUGUGUGCUAGACGUUGGAAAUUUUAUUUUCAGUGUCGCAGCAAAAGCGAUAAGCACACCGCCUGGGGAGUACGACCGCAAGGUUAAAACUCAAAUGAAUUGACGGGGACCCGCACAAGUAGUGGAGCAUGUGGUUUAAUUCGAAGAUACGCGCAGAACCUUACCAACACUUGACAUGUUCGUCGCGACUCUAAGAGAUUAGAGUUUUCGGUUCGGCCGGACGAAACACAGGUGCUGCAUGGCUGUCGUCAGCUCGUGUCGUGAGAUGUUGGGUUAAGUCCCGCAACGAGCGCAACCCUCACUUUUAGUUGCUACCAUUUAGUUGGGCACUCUGAAAGAACUGCCAGUGAUAAGCUGGAGGAAGGUGGGGAUGACGUCAAGUCCUCAUGGCCCUUACGUGUUGGGCUACACACGUGCUACAAUGGCAUCUACAACAGGAAGCAAGAAUGCGAAUUUAAGCAAAUCCCUAAAAGAUGCCUCAGUUCGGAUUGUACUCUGCAACUCGAGUACAUGAAGCUGGAAUUACUAGUAAUCGCGGAUCAGCGUGCCGCGGUGAAUACGUUCCCGGGUCUUGUACACACCGCCCGUCACACCAUGGGAGUUGGUUCUACCUUAAGGCAAAAUGUUAACCUUCGGGAAGCAUUUGACCACGGUAUAGUCAGCGACUGGGGUGAAGUCGUAACAAGGUAACC